RNAcentral lists this ribosomal RNA (253 nucleotides) under uncultured bacterium. RNAcentral's name for it is "partial 16S ribosomal RNA". It matches the Rfam family "Bacterial small subunit ribosomal RNA", at positions 524 to 776 of the family's 1533-position model. The record is from RNAcentral.
GACGUAGGGGGCGAGCGUUGUCCGGAGUUAUUGGGCGUAAAGCGCGCGCAGGCGGCCUCGCGCGCCCGACGUGAAAUCCCUCGGCUUAACCGGGGAACUGCGUCUGAUACUGGAUGGCUAGAGGUUGGGAGAGGGAUGCGGAAUUCCAGGUGUAGCGGUGAAAUGCGUAGAUAUCUGGAGGAACACCGGUGGCGAAGGCGGCAUCCUGGACCAAUUCUGACGCUGAGGAGCGAAAGCCAGGGGAGCAAACGGG